RNAcentral lists this long non-coding RNA (964 nucleotides) under Rattus norvegicus (Norway rat). RNAcentral describes it as "long non-coding RNA NONRATT012390". The record is from RNAcentral. Lineage: Eukaryota; Metazoa; Chordata; Mammalia; Rodentia; Muridae.
GACCUACUUCCCUACCUUAGGCUGAGGACAUUCAGGAUGUUUCAACUCCCACUGGUUGCUGGGAAAUGUCUCCUUUCUCUAUCCCUUCUCCUGUCAGGUGUUUGAGUGAACCCUAUGUACCAGGGCCACAUAAUCAGUUCUGGUCAGUGAAACACCAAUGGCAUAGAAAGUGACUUGAGUCACUUCUGAGCUGGACUGUCUGAUGCUCACUUCCCAUCAUGGGUACCACGGGUGCUGCUUGAGACAAUGACUCUUCAUUACCCUGAAUCCUCAGAGCUUAUUUGGAGAAGUCUUCUGAUAAUUGGAAAUAGGCAAAUAGCACAAUCGAGUCAUCCAUGGGGAUGUAGUUGUUUCUGCAGCAUAACGUUACUUAUCCUGACUAACAGAGAAAUACAACCAUUGGAUCGAAGGAUGCCCUGUACCUAAGCUUUCUCAUGUGUGCCUGAAUCUGGAAGUUGGUUUAAUGUUUCCCUGCCACAUCCCACAAUCCUUUCAUCUGGAUCUCACUGAAAAUCAAGCAGAGACCUGUAACCAAGACAACAGCUUCACGUCUCAUUCUAAAAAUGAGCAUUUGCGGAUUUGUCCAGAAUUUGAUAAGGAUGCAGAAGUGCAGAAUUCAAGUCGUUUCAAAGUGAUACCCUGUCAAGUCUUUGGGACCAAGUGUUCAGCGCUUCAUCUUUCUCUCAGGAAGAGGUCUAAGGUCAUAGGAGUGAGCUGAGCAAUUCAGCCAAGCUUAAACAGCUGGCCAGUAAAUGGCAGUGAAAACAAGAUGAGAACCCAGGACCCUUUAUCACAAGUAAACUCUUCUGUGCUCCGAGGACUACAUAUGGCUGUCAAAAGACACCCGCUGGACUGCAGGUCAGCUCUGCUCAGAGUAAAAAUAGUAGAAGCUACACAUGUGUCAUUUUCCAGACAAGAGAUAGAGAAGGGAUAUUAAAUUUAGUAACAUUUUGACUUAAGCCAA